This 289-nucleotide RNase P RNA is filed under the name Hydrogenophilales bacterium 12-64-13. Its description in RNAcentral is "RNase P RNA component class A". It matches the Rfam family "Bacterial RNase P class A". Rfam says of the family: Ribonuclease P (RNase P) is a ubiquitous endoribonuclease, found in archaea, bacteria and eukarya as well as chloroplasts and mitochondria. Its best characterised activity is the generation of mature 5'-ends of tRNAs by cleaving the 5'-leader elements of precursor-tRNAs. Cellular RNase Ps are ribonucleoproteins. Lineage: Bacteria; Pseudomonadati; Pseudomonadota; Hydrogenophilia; Hydrogenophilales. RNAcentral also lists the same sequence under 2 other names. The record is from RNAcentral.
AAAGUUGGCCAGACAGCCGCUGCCGCGCAAGCGGGAGAGGAAAGUCCGGGCUCCACAGAGCGGGAUGACGGCUAACGGCCGUACGCCGUGAGGCGAGGAACAGGGCCACAGAGACGAGCGUAUUCAGUUACGGUGAAACGCGGUAACCUCCAUCCGGAGCAACACCAAAUAGGCGGACGUUGAUGCUGCUCGCUGAGUCCGCGGGUAGGUGGCUUGAACCGGUCAGCAAUGGCCGGUCUAGAGGAAUGGUUGUCCAUGACAGAACCCGGCUUACCGGCUGACUUUUCCA